GACGAACGCUGGCGGCGUGCUUAACACAUGCAAGUCGAACGGUAAGGCCCCAGCUUGCUGGGUUACACGAUUGGCGCACGGGUGAGUAACACGUGGGGGACCUGCCCCUCACUGCGUGAGAAGCCUGGGAGACUCGGUCUCAUACCGGGUAUGACCGCACCGUGAGGGUGGGUUGGAAAUUUUUGCGGGGUGUGAUGGGCCCGCUGCCUAUCAGCUUGUUGGUGGGGGAAUGGACUACCAAGGCGGCGUCGGGUAGCCGGCCUGAGAGGGUGGACGGCCACAUGGGGACUGAGACACGGCCCAGAAUCCUACGGGAGGCAGCAGUGGGGAAUAUUGCACAAUGGGCGGAAGCCUGAUGCAGCGAUGCCGCGUGGGGGAUGACGGCCUUCGGGUUGUAAACUCCUUUCACCAUAGACGAAGGUUUUCUGACGGUAGAUGGAGAAGAAGCAACGGCUAACUACGUG
Molecule: ribosomal RNA, 464 nt
Filed under: uncultured bacterium
Lineage: Bacteria
Description: partial 16S ribosomal RNA
Rfam family: Bacterial small subunit ribosomal RNA
Source: RNAcentral